Globicephala melas (long-finned pilot whale) is the source of this 260-nucleotide long non-coding RNA. RefSeq lists it as uncharacterized. The record is from RefSeq and is a predicted model, not a curated record. NCBI's taxonomy places the organism in Eukaryota, Metazoa, Chordata, Mammalia, Artiodactyla, Delphinidae.
CAGACGUGAGUUCGUCAAGCAGCAAACCCUCUUGAGUGGAUGUCAGUCUCUGAAGCGGCUGAGACGUGUGACAGGGUGGCCUAAGAUGGGAAUUUUUUGCUCAGGAACUGGGCCUUCUAAACCGGAUUCGGUUGAUGACAACAUGGGGACAAGUGUCAGCUUUCAGCCUCAGUUUCCCCUGCUGAACCGCCACAACGUGACCCCUGUUGAUUAAAGAAGUUUCCUGCAAUGACUACUAACAGCAGUACUUCUACUGAGGU